CGCGGAGUAUGUGGCUUAAUUUGACUCAACGCGGAAAAGCUUAUCUGGUCCGGACGCAGUGAGGAUUGACAGACAGUUAGACAAAAGUGGUUUUGGUAACAAAUUGAGAGAGGUGAAGUUCUUUCAUGAUCUUGUGAGAGGUGGUGCAUGGCCGUUCUUAGUUCGUGUAGUGAUAUGUCUGCCUAAUCGCGUCACGAUAACCUAUUGGUCGACAACCCAAUUAUCACAACUGCAGCAUAACUCCCCUUGGGUGGGCGAGGCUCUGUGUAGGAUAGACCUCUGAACAGUACGCAACGAACGUGAUCGUAAACCCUUGUUGAGUGGCCAUCCUGUAAGCUGCUGGAUUAGGAACCCAGUGGUAUUAUCUCAGCCACAGAUUUUCUGGUUGUAAUGGGCCAGUUUUGAAACUCGGGGCACAUCUGUGACUUUCUUUCUUAACGCAGAGGAAGGUUAUGGCAAUAACAGGUCUGUGAUG
RNAcentral lists this ribosomal RNA (475 nucleotides) under Globigerina bulloides. RNAcentral's name for it is "SSU rRNA". It matches the Rfam family "Eukaryotic small subunit ribosomal RNA", at positions 1178 to 1469 of the family's 1831-position model. The record is from RNAcentral. Lineage: Eukaryota; Foraminifera; Rotaliida; Globigerinidae.